UUUCACUAGUCCAUCACCACCAACAUUUUGAUACCAAUUAGUACUAAAUUCCUACAAAAACGCCAUUCAUCAGUUGUAUAGUCAAGAAGUCAAGUCCUUGUGUGUAAACUUAGCAUUGGAUAUCUCGACAAAGCACAUGCUGCAAACUAGACCUCUUAAUAAGGGGCAUCACACAAAAAGUGGAGACUGGGAUCAAACGAUGUCUUUCAAAUGCUGUUUUUCAAAAAUAUGACAGCCCCAUGGUUCAUCUACAGAGGUACUUUUUACACUUUGUCAGAUCAAGAGAUUGAAAAUUAAAAAAGAGGUCUAAGAAUUAAUGGAAAUUGUCCAGAAUGUCAACUAUUGCAACAGCCUCAGAGAAAACUUGGGAAUUACAUCAUAUGUUAUCCGUCAAUUCAAAUCAUUUUUUAGCAUCUAUGAUAUUUCUUAUUUAAAGUAUAUCAAGAAUAUUAAAAUAUUGAGAAGAAUCAGAUUACAGCUUGUCUUUUAGCGCCUCUGCCGCGUUUGUUGCAACGCUUUAUGGAAUUUCAUGCCCAGCAUGAAAAUGGCCACAAGGCAUCAUGGGAUUUCAUGCCCAGCAUGAAAACGGUCGCAACGCUUUAUGGGAUUUCAUGCCCAGCAUGAAAACGGUUGCAACGCUUUAUGGGAUUUCAUGCCCAGCAUGAAAAUGACCGCAAGGCAUCAUGGAAACUUAUUACCAGGAAUGAAAAUGAUCACAAAGCUUCGAGAUUACGAAAGGAGUUAAAUCUGACAUUCCGGCAGGCAUGACCUUAAAAAAUUAAUGCCCCUGCAAUA
Molecule: long non-coding RNA, 795 nt
Organism: Exaiptasia diaphana
Lineage: Eukaryota; Metazoa; Cnidaria; Anthozoa; Actiniaria; Aiptasiidae
Exons: 4
Source: RefSeq, a predicted model, not a curated record